Molecule: ribosomal RNA, 305 nt
Filed under: uncultured bacterium
Lineage: Bacteria
Description: bacterial SSU rRNA
Rfam family: Bacterial small subunit ribosomal RNA
Source: RNAcentral
UCCUACGGGGGGCAGCAGUGAGGAAUAUUGGUCAAUGGGCGCGAGCCUGAACCAGCCAAGUCGCGUGAGGGAUGACGGUCCUACGGAUUGUAAACCUCUUUUGCCGGGGAGCAAGCGUGCGUUCGUGAACGCGCGUCGAGAGUACCCGGAGAAAAAGCAUCGGCUAACUCCGUGCCAGCAGCCGCGGUAAUACGUAGGGUGCGAGCGUUAAUCGGAAUUACUGGGCGUAAAGGGUGUGCAGGCGGCUGAGUAAGACAGAUGUGAAAUCCCCGGGCUUAACCUGGGAACCGCAUAUGUGACUGCUU